GUGAAGGAGAGGUCGGAGUCAAAGAGAACAUCUAGGCAGCGAGCCUGCAUGGAGGAGCUGAUGGUAGCACGAUUAACGUGGAGGGAGACAGAGAAGGGAGUAGCAACAAUUGAUGGAGGAAAGAUCAGAAGUUCUGUUUUGGACAAGUUACCGGUAAGUUUAAAGAAGUGGACAGCCGUCCAGUUAGAAAUAGCAGAGAGCCAG
Non-coding RNA from Pelobates cultripes (western spadefoot toad), 204 nucleotides. The record is from the annotation of a GenBank genome assembly. Lineage: Eukaryota; Metazoa; Chordata; Amphibia; Anura; Pelobatidae.